RNAcentral lists this unclassified non-coding RNA (481 nucleotides) under Hevea brasiliensis (rubber tree). Lineage: Eukaryota; Viridiplantae; Streptophyta; Magnoliopsida; Malpighiales; Euphorbiaceae. The record is from RNAcentral.
GCCAGCAGUAUCCCAGAUCUGGGCUUUAACGACUUUGCCUUUGAUGGUGACAGUUCUAGUCUGGAACUCAACGCCGAUAGUAGACUUGGAAUCGAAGCAGAACUCGUUCUUAGUGAACCUGGAAAGCAACUGAGUCUUACCCACAGCCGAAUCACCGAUCACAACCACCUUAAACACAUAGUCUAUUUUCUCUUCAUGAUUCUCCAGCUCACCACCAUUCAUCUCUUGAUUCAUUUCUCUAGUCUCUGCACAAAACCACCUGGGCUUGGAGCAGGAAGAAAUUGGAAGUUGGUUUCUCUGCUAUAUCAAUAUGUAACUUUUGAGAGCAGGACACUGGUCUUUGGAUCUUAGUCUUGGUGGUAAGUGGGAGCUAGUAAAGAAAGGAAAAAGGUUGAAAAAGACGACCACACAAGACUGGGUUCCCGACGAUUCUACUCACUAAAUAGAAAAGGGGAGGGAGUUGUGAAAUUUGGUCCGGUCU